GCAGCCGGUCUCCGGGAUGAUGGACGAGCACUGACAGGGGAGCGGCAGGGGUGUAGAGGACUCAGGGAGCACAUCGUCCAAACAUCACAAGGAUACAGCAGCCCCCUUUCCGUGCACAGAGGCCUCCGCCCUCCAAGCCCCAGAGGGAAAUGCUGUAGGUGCUGAUGGUGGAGGGGGAACCCUUGGGGGCUUCUCGCUCAGGUUCCACUCCCUGAGCCUUGCCCUUCCUGGAUGGGACACAACACCAGUCCCGCCAAAGUGCAUGCAUUGCCCCGCUCCUUGUCCUCAUCAGCAGAAAGAGGCAGGCUAUUUUCCAAAGGAACUCAGCUCAGUGCAAAGGGGGAUGGUCACAAAGAACGUCCUAGAGAAGACGCAAACCCCAUUGUGAGGCAGAAUCGCAGAGGGUCCUGAGUGUGGACUCUAGAGCUGGACUACCGCCUGGCGGGUUCUUCAGCUCUCUGGGCCUCAGCUUCCACAUCUGUAUCACGGGGAUAAUCACAGUACCUUACUCGGAAGGUUGUUACAAGGCUUAGAAUGGUGCCGGCCAUGUAGUAAGUGCUUACUAAGUGUCGUAAUUCAGACAAAGCUCGAGUCCUCAUGGAAGUAGAGCAGAGGUUCCAGGGCCCCCUUCCCUCCGAACGCCCCGACAAGAGACUGGGCCUUCUAGAAGGAUGUUCAUCCUCCAGUUCCAAGUGCCCAUCACAGCCUGGCACACAGCAGGUGCUCAAGAAAUAAGUGAUUUUAGGACUCUGCACAGUCCUGUGCUAUUGGGACCGUGAGCCCACUUUACAGAGGAACCUGAGACUCUCAGAGGAGAAGGGACCUGCCUAAGCAACAUGGGGUUACCAGUGGAGGGUCUGGCUUUGACUUGAAGGCCCCUGUUCUUUGGUGUCUACCAGGAGGGUGACCCACGCUUUCCCAGCUGGGCGGCCAGCUCUACCCAGCCCUGAAACACUUACCCUCUGUGACCGUUUCCUGCUCCCACCCAGGGAAACGGGCCUUGGGAGAGUGUACCCUCCUCAGGGACCCCGCAUGGCAGUUCCACAGAGACCCAAAAGUGAAGCACUGGGGUGGGGAGCUGGGAGAGGAGGGGGGAGCUCCCUCCCUUGGGCAUGUGGAGGCAGCCAAUAGGAUGGAGAGAAGGCAGAGGGGAUAAGGUGUAGACACAGGCCUCUGGAGGCAUAUUCCUGACCCUGAGUGCCCUCCUGUGCCUUUCAUGAUGUGCGGUCACAGAGAGGGAUGGGGAGGUGGCUGGCAGAUCACCCAGAGGCCCUGCCUAGAACCUUGGGAGGCUGGGAGGGCAGGAAUGGGGAGCAAAGCCUGCUGACCUACUCCUGGGCUGGUCAGAGGGACAGAGAGGGAAAGAAGGCCAGAGGGUGCUUCCUGCAGAGGGGUGGCCAAAGGGAUCCUCUCUCUCAGAGGUCCCUGCUGCGGCCCGCCGGCGUAGCCAUGCCUGUGGUGCAUCCCGGUGAUAAUGACUCACAUGGGCAGAGUGCCCAUGCUGUCUUCUGUGCCUGGAGACCUGCCCUUCAGUCGCGCUGCGUGUGUCUUUAAGGACUGCCCUUCCUCUCCUAGAAAGACCCCUGGUGGCCCCCACCGGCAGCUCUGACUGCAAAUACAGGCAGUCUGGCUAAAGAGACAGCCUGGGGCAGCGAGAGGAGCCUGGCCUGGGAGCUCCGUCCUCAACCUCCUCUGUGACCUUGGGCAGGUCCCUUCCUCCUGCUGGGCCUCAGUCUUCCCAUCUGUAAAGUGGGGAGAUUGCGUUCGAUGACCUCUGAGGUCCCUCUUCGCUCUGACAGUGAUGGUACCUAGUAGACACCUAGUGAAUAUUUGUUGAAUAAAAGGAGGAGUAAAUGUGGCUCCAGGUUGGUAACAGGAAUGGGCAGGAGUGACUUCUGAAGGACAAACAAGGCUGUUUUAGCCUGGAAAGUUAACAAUAACAGGGAACAUUUAUUGACUGCUGACUCUGCCUGACACUGUGCUGAGCGCUGCCCAUCUGUUGUCUGAUUAAACCUUCAUAACCGCCUCGGGAGGCAGGCUCGAUUAUCUUUCCCAUUUUGCAGAUGAGAAAAUUGAGGCACAGAGAGGUCCCUUGUCUAACAUCACCCAGCCAGAGUGACCACAUUACUCAGGACUCUUUCAGCUGCUUGUGGCAGAAAUGCAACUCUUACAGGCUUAAGGAUAAAAGGGAAUUUAUUGCUUACGUAUCUGUGAAGUGCAGGGGUGGCUAGACCCAAGAGCUCAAACGAUGAUUUCAGGAAUUCCUCUCUCCCCUGCUUCCUUCAAUGUGGCUGUUGACGGCGUGGACGCCACUCCAAGAAGAAAAACAGUGUAGAAGUUAAAGUCUCCAUUUCUGAAGUCAGAGUACCUGGGUCAAACUCUGGCCUUGCUGUGUGACCCUGGGCAAGUUAAUCAGCUUCUCUGGCCUCAGUUUCCUUAUCUGUGAAAUGGGGAUAAGAGUAGUACUUACUUUGUGAGGUUGUUGUGAAGACUAGAUGAGUUUGUAACUGUAAAGUGCCGGGAGCAGGACUUGACAGUCAGUAGGUGUGAACGGCUGGUACUGCCUUUAGACACGCUAGAGGGAGAGUCUCUCCUACCCCCAACCUGAAAAGCCCCUUGUUUGACUAAUAUUGGACUGACUUGGGUCCUGUGCUGCCAAUCACUGUGGCUGGGGGAGGGAAUAUGCUGAUUGGGCCUGGUUAUAUGCCUACCCCAGAGCGCAGAGAUGGCCAGUCCUCCCCCUGGAGCAUGAGGAUGGCCAGUCCUCCUCCUGGAGCACAGGGAUGGCUGGUCCUCCCCCUGGAGCAUGAGGAUGGCUGGUCCUCCCCCUGGAGCACGGGGAUGGCUGGUCCUCCCCCUGGAGCAUGAGGAUUGCCAGUCCUCCCCCUGGAGCAUGAGGACGGCCAGUGCUCCUCCUGGAGCACAGGGAUGGCUGGUCCUCCCCCUGGAGCAUGAGGAUGGCCAGUCCUCCCCCUGGAGCAUGAGGAUGGCCAGUUCUCCCCCUGGAGCACAGAGAUGGCUUUAAAAUUUUCUGUUCAACUCUACACAUUUUAACGCAUGCAUAGAGUCUAGGAACCACAACCACAAACAGGAUAGAGAACAAUUCCAACAUCCCAAAGAAUUCCCUGAUGCUGGCCUGUUGUAACCAGUCCAUCCCCCACCCAAACCCCUGG
Molecule: long non-coding RNA, 3173 nt
Organism: Equus caballus (horse)
Lineage: Eukaryota; Metazoa; Chordata; Mammalia; Perissodactyla; Equidae
Source: Ensembl